This 110-nucleotide ribosomal RNA is filed under the name Pteropus alecto (black flying fox). Lineage: Eukaryota; Metazoa; Chordata; Mammalia; Chiroptera; Pteropodidae. The record is from RNAcentral.
GUCUACGACCAUGCCAUCUUGAGCACACCGGAUCUCGGCUGAUCUCAGAAGCUAAGCAGAGUUGGGCCUGGAUAGUACUUGGAUGGGAGAACACCUAGGUGCUGUAGGCU